RNAcentral lists this ribosomal RNA (1497 nucleotides) under Triticum aestivum (bread wheat). RNAcentral describes it as "partial small subunit ribosomal RNA". Lineage: Eukaryota; Viridiplantae; Streptophyta; Magnoliopsida; Poales; Poaceae. The record is from RNAcentral.
AUGGGACCUCAUUUUCCUCUAUGGCUAAAAGGGCAGAAGGGUGUCGUUUUUCUUGACAUUUCUGAUGCAGGCAUAGUUGAUAACCUCCCGGAUUGGUUUUGGAGUGUGGUUUCAAAUGUUCAAUAUUUGAACAUCUCUUUUAACCAAAUAAGCGGCAGGUUGCCAAGGACACUUGAGUUUAUGUCCUCAGCAGUGAUAUUUGAUCUGAAUUCCAACAACCUCACUGGUAUUCUACCACUGUUGCCAAGGCAAUUGGCAGAACUGGACAUUUCCAGAAACUCUUUAUCGGGGCCACUGCCACGAAACUUUGGAGCUCCGUUUAUUGAAGAGUUGUUGCUUUCUGAGAACAGUAUCAAUGGCACGAUUCCAACAUAUAUUUGUCAGCUGCAGUCAUUAUUGGUACUGGAUUUAGCAAAGAACCUCCUGGCAGGACACCUCCCUGUCUGUUCAGAAGAAACGAAAAAACUGAAUAGAUCCAUGAGAGCUCUAGUCCUGUAUGAAAACAACUUGUCUGGUGAAUUUCCUUCAUUUUUGGAGAGCUGCUCAGAGUUGGUUCUGCUUGAUCUUGCGCACAACAACUUUGCCGGAGAGUUGCCGGCAUGGUUAGCAAAUAAAUUGCCAGGUUUGUCCUACCUCCGGUUGCGGCAUAAUAAAUUCUCUGGCUCUAUUCCAGGUCAGCUCACACAGCUUGAACACCUACAGUAUGUGGACCUUGCAGAUAACCGAAUAUCAGGAUCUAUACCUCAUUCGUUGGCCAACUUAAAAGCAAUGAUACAGGAGGACCAAACACUUUGGAACCCCUUAGUGUGGAGUUAUGAAGGGCCAGCAAACCCUGACACGAAUGAUUCACCAAAAUAUGAUGACAGCUUAGCAGUGGUAAUGAAAGGCCAAGAACUUGAUUACACCAGAAAUAUUAUUUAUAUAGUUGGCCUCGACUUGUCCUGUAACAGUUUGGUCGGAGAGAUUCCAGAUGAAUUGACUUCCCUGGUUAGAAUGAAUAACCUGAACAUCUCCCAUAAUCAGUUGUCCGGCAGGAUCCCGGAGAAGGUCGGUUCGCUACGGUCAUUGGAGUCUCUCGACCUGUCAUUCAACGGACUCUCUGGCGAGAUUCCUUUUGGUCUCUCGGAAAUCACGACGUUAAGCAAGCUGAACCUGUCAUACAAUAACCUUUCGGGAAGAAUACCCUCAGGGAAUCAGCUGCAGUCACUCAUCGACCCAGCAUCGUCGUAUGUCGGCAACAACUAUCUUUGCGGGCCUCCUCUUUCCAGGAACUGCUGGGAGCCUGAUGUAACUAGAGGUGAUAUUGAGGAGCAUCAAGACGAGGCGAAGUAUUUCUAUCUUGGGCUGGCUGCAGGAUUUGUCUUUGGUCUCUGGCUGGUGUUCAUUAUCUUCUUGUUUCGUUCAUGUGGUGGGUUCGCAAUGUGCGGAGCAAUGCCAUCACGUUGGGCACGACUGCCUGAAGCUCAAGGAUUGGCAUUGCAGCUUCGUCGUGGGUGA